UGACGGCAUAAGUUUGACAUC
RNAcentral lists this non-coding RNA (21 nucleotides) under Caenorhabditis elegans. Lineage: Eukaryota; Metazoa; Nematoda; Chromadorea; Rhabditida; Rhabditidae. The record is from RNAcentral.